GGAAAAGAAACUAACAAGGAUUCCCCUAGUAACUGCGAGUGAAGCGGGAAAAGCUCAAAUUUAAAAUCUGUCAGUCUUUGGCUGUCCGAGUUGUAAUCUAGAGAAGUGUUAUCCGCGCUGGACCGUGUACAAGUCUCCUGGAAUGGAGCGUCAUAGAGGGUGAGAAUCCCGUCUUUGACACGGACUGCCAGGGCUUUGUGAUACGCUCUCAAAGAGUCGAGUUGUUUGGGAAUGCAGCUCAAAAUGGGUGGUAAAUUCCAUCUAAAGCUAAAUAUUGGCGAGAGACCGAUAGCGAACAAGUACCGUGAGGGAAAGAUGAAAAGAACUUUGGAAAGAGAGUUAAACAGUACGUGAAAUUGCUGAAAGGGAAACGCUUGAAGUCAGUCGCGUUGUCCAGGGAUCAGCCUUGCUUUUGCUUGGUGUACUUUCUGGUUGACGGGUCAGCAUCAAUUUUGACUGUUGGAAAAAGGUCGGGGGAAUGUGGCAUCUUCGGAUGUGUUAUAGCCCUUGGUUGCAUACAAUGGUUGGGAUUGAGGAACUCAGCACGCCGCAAGGCCGGGUAACUAUUACCACGUACGUGCUUAGGAUGCUGGCAUAAUGGCUUUAAUCGACCCGUCUUGAAACACGGACCAAGGAGUCUAACAUGCCUGCGAGUGUUUGGGUGGAAAACUCGAGCGCGUAAUGAAAGUGAAAGUUGAGAUCCCUGUCGUGGGGAGCAUCGACGCCCGGACCAGACCUUUUGUGACGGUUCCGCGGUAGAGCAUGUAUGUUGGGACCCGAAAGAUGGUGAACUAUGCCUGAAUAGGGUGAAGCCAGAGGAAACUCUGGUGGAGGCUCGUAGCGAUUCUGACGUGCAAAUCGAUCGUCAAAUUUGGGUAUAGGGGCGAAAGACUAAUCGAACCAUCUAGUAGCUGGUUCC
Molecule: ribosomal RNA, 919 nt
Filed under: Cortinarius sp.
Lineage: Eukaryota; Fungi; Basidiomycota; Agaricomycetes; Agaricales; Cortinariaceae
Description: LSU rRNA
Rfam family: Eukaryotic large subunit ribosomal RNA
Source: RNAcentral